This 423-nucleotide ribosomal RNA is filed under the name uncultured bacterium. RNAcentral's name for it is "bacterial SSU rRNA". It matches the Rfam family "Bacterial small subunit ribosomal RNA", at positions 207 to 622 of the family's 1533-position model. The record is from RNAcentral.
AAGACCUUGCGCUUUUGGAGCGGCCGAUGUCUGAUUAGCUUGUUGGUGAGGUAAAAGCUUACCAAGGCUUCGAUCAGUAGCUGGUCUGAGAGGACGGCCAGCCACACUGGGACUGAGACACGGCCCAGACUCCUACGGGUGGCAGCAGUGGGGAAUUUUGGACAAUGGGGGCAACCCUGAUCCAGCCAUGCCGCGUGAGUGAAGAAGGCCUUCGGGUUGUAAAGCUCUUUCAGCCGGAACGAAACGGUUACGGUUAAUACCCGUGACUACUGACGGUACCGGAAGAAGAAGCACCGGCUAACUACGUGCCAGCAGCCGCGGUAAUACGUAGGGUGCAAGCGUUAAUCGGAAUUACUGGGCGUAAAGCGUGCGCAGGUGGUUUUGUAAGUCAGAUGUGAAAUCCCCGGGCUUAACCUGGGAACU